Molecule: ribosomal RNA, 496 nt
Filed under: uncultured bacterium
Lineage: Bacteria
Description: partial 16S ribosomal RNA
Rfam family: Bacterial small subunit ribosomal RNA
Source: RNAcentral
GAUGAACGCUGGCGGCGUGCCUAAUACAUGCAAGUCGAGCGAACGGACGAGAAGCUUGCUUUUCUGAUGUUAGCGGCGGACGGGUGAGUAACACGUGGAUAACCUACCUAUAAGACUGGGAUAACUUCGGGAAACCGGAGCUAAUACCGGAUAAUAUUUUGAACCGCAUGGUUCAAAAGUGAAAGACGGUCUUGCUGUCACUUAUAGAUGGAUCCGCGCUGCAUUAGCUAGUUGGUAAGGUAACGGCUUACCAAGGCAACGAUGCAUAGCCGACCUGGGAGGGUGAUCGGCCACACAGGAACGGAGACACGGUCCAGACCCCUACGGGAGGCAGCAGUAGGGAAUCUUCCGCAAUGGGCGAAAGCCUGACGGAGCAACGCCGCGUGAGUGAUGAAGGUCUUCGGAUCGUAAAACUCUGUUAUUAGGGAAGAACAUAUGUGUAAGUAACUGUGCACAUCUUGACGGUACCUAAUCAGAAAGCCACGGCGAACUACGU